This 1134-nucleotide ribosomal RNA is filed under the name Xylariaceae sp. DSM 102903. RNAcentral's name for it is "eukaryotic LSU rRNA". The stretch from base 515 to 1134 matches the Rfam family "Eukaryotic large subunit ribosomal RNA", at positions 1 to 639 of the family's 3401-position model. Lineage: Eukaryota; Fungi; Ascomycota; Sordariomycetes; Xylariales; Xylariaceae. The record is from RNAcentral.
GUGACAGCGGAGGGAUCAUUAAAGAGUGUAAUAACUCCCAAACCCAUGUGAACAUACCUCAUGUUGCCUCGGCAGGUCGCGCCUACCCCGCAGACCCCUACCCUGUAGGGCCUACCCGGAAGGCGCGGGUAACCCUGCCGGCGGCCCACGAAACUCUGUUUAGUAUUGAAUUCUGAACCUAUAACUAAAUAAGUUAAAACUUUCAACAACGGAUCUCUUGGUUCUGGCAUCGAUGAAGAACGCAGCGAAAUGCGAUAAGUAAUGUGAAUUGCAGAAUUCAGUGAAUCAUCGAAUCUUUGAACGCACAUUGCGCCCAUUAGUAUUCUAGUGGGCAUGCCUGUUCGAGCGUCAUUUCAACCCUUAAGCCCCUGUUGCUUAGCGUUGGGAGCCUACAGCACUGUAGCUCCCCGAAGUUAGUGGCGGAGUCGGCUCACACUCUAGACGUAGUAAAUCUUUCACCUCGUCUGUAGUUGGGCCGGUCCCCUGCCGUAAAACACCCAAACUUUUAAAAGGUUGACCUCGGAUCAGGUAGGAAUACCCGCUGAACUUAAGCAUAUCAAUAAGCGGAGGAAAAGAAACCAACAGGGAUUGCCCUAGUAACGGCGAGUGAAGCGGCAACAGCUCAAAUUUGAAAUCUGGCUCUUCAGGGGUCCGAGUUGUAAUUUGUAGAGGAUGCUUUUGGCGCGGUGCCUUCCGAGUUCCCUGGAACGGGACGCCUUAGAGGGUGAGAGCCCCGUACGGUUGGACACCAAGCCUCUGUAAAGCUCCUUCGACGAGUCGAGUAGUUUGGGAAUGCUGCUCUAAAUGGGAGGUAAAUUUCUUCUAAAGCUAAAUAUUGGCCAGAGACCGAUAGCGCACAAGUAGAGUGAUCGAAAGAUGAAAAGCACUUUGAAAAGAGGGUUAAAUAGCACGUGAAAUUGUUGAAAGGGAAGCGUUUGCGACCAGACCUUUUCCUAGCGGAUCAUCCGGUGUUCUUCGCCGGUGCACUUCGCUAGGUCGAGGCCAGCAUCGGUUUCUGUAGGGGGAUAAAAGCUCAAGGAACGUAGCUCCUUCGGGAGUGUUAUAGCCCUCCGCAUAAUACCCUUACGGGGACCGAGGACCGCGCUUUUUGCAAGGAUGCUGGGCGUAAUGGUC